AUAACAGAAUGUUAUUACGUUGUCUAUAUAUACCCUGUAGAACCGAAUUUGUGUGGUAUUUACAUAGUCACAGAUUCGAUUCUAGGGGAAUAUAUGGUCGAUGCAAAAACUUCACAUUUCUGCAAAUGGUUAAAAUUAUAAAUGUCUGGG
RNAcentral lists this microRNA precursor (150 nucleotides) under Sarcophilus harrisii (Tasmanian devil). RNAcentral describes it as "microRNA sha-mir-10b precursor". Its record names the gene sha-mir-10b. The stretch from base 24 to 98 matches the Rfam family "mir-10 microRNA precursor family". From Rfam's summary of the family: In this case the mature sequence comes from the 5' arm of the precursor. The extents of the hairpin precursors are not generally known and are estimated based on hairpin prediction. The record is from miRBase by way of RNAcentral. Lineage: Eukaryota; Metazoa; Chordata; Mammalia; Dasyuromorphia; Dasyuridae.